GAUGAACGCUGGCGGCGUGCCUAAUACAUGCAAGUCGAGCGAACAGACGAGGAGCUUGCUUCUCUGACGUUAGCGGCGGACGGGUGAGUAACACGUGGAUAACCUACCUAUAAGACUGGGAUAACUUCGGGAAACCGGAGCUAAUACCGGAUAAUAUAUUGAACCGCAUGGUUCAAUAGUGAAAGACGGCUUUGCUGUCACUUUUAGAUGGAUCCGCGCCGCAUUAGCUAGUUGGUAAGGUAACGGCUUACCAAGGCAACGAUGCGUAGCCGACCUGAGAGGAUGAUCGGCCACACUGGAACUGAGACACGGUCCAGACUCCUACGGGAGGCAGCAGUAGGGAAUAUUGCACAAUGGGCGAAAGCUUGACGGAGCAACGCCGCGUGAGUGAUGAAGGUCUUCGGAUCGUAAAACUCUGUUAUUGGGGAGGAAGAAAUGUGUGAGUAACUAUGCGCGUCUUGACGGUACCUGAACAGAAAGCCACGGCUAACUACGUG
Molecule: ribosomal RNA, 497 nt
Filed under: uncultured bacterium
Lineage: Bacteria
Description: partial 16S ribosomal RNA
Rfam family: Bacterial small subunit ribosomal RNA
Source: RNAcentral